GUUAGGGGCACGUGGCUCCUCACAUGUGCUCAUUUCCAUUACAACUUUGUCCAAGGACAAACAGAUGGGAUGUGUUUUCAAUUUCGUCCAUGGUAUCCUAAUGGAUGCUUUAUUGCAAAAGACCUUGUUUAUAGCAAGCCAUGUUGGCAGAUCCAGCAUGUUUUGAAGCACCUCUUGAUCCAACUCUAAGUUGGUCAGUUGACCUUCCCC
This 210-nucleotide long non-coding RNA is filed under the name Gallus gallus (chicken). The record is from RNAcentral. Lineage: Eukaryota; Metazoa; Chordata; Aves; Galliformes; Phasianidae.